This 785-nucleotide long non-coding RNA is filed under the name Sus scrofa (pig). RNAcentral describes it as "lncRNA (ENSSSCG00055001582.1)". Lineage: Eukaryota; Metazoa; Chordata; Mammalia; Artiodactyla; Suidae. The record is from RNAcentral.
AGUGGCAAGAGAAGUGUCUCGGUGGGACAGAGCAAAGCUUGUUCAUGGGAGAAAUUUAAGCUUUAGGUACAUUUAUCAUUGAUACAAGGAAAGACUAAAAACAUAGGAAUGAAUUUAGAACCAGAAGAAGGUAUUUUAAAAAAAACCCAGGAGAAAAGGAAAAUGAUAGAGGAAAAAAGAUAAAAAAAAAAAAGAACCCCAAAGAGUAGAAAGUAUUCGCAGGCUUUAGAGAUGGUUCUUUAAAAAGACCAACACAACAGAUAAAUCUCUCACAAACCUGAUUAAGAAAUAAAGGGAGGAAAAGAGACAUGAUGGACAAUGAGAAAAGAGACAUAAUAAAACAAUUGGAAGAGAUUUAAUUUUUUUUUUUUAACAGAAGGUUGUGAGUAACUUGAUGGCAAUAAAGUAGAAGACCUGGAGAAAGAGAGACGGCGUCUUGGAAAAAAGGCACAGAGAAGGCUCAUUGGAGGUGGCACCCAGAGAGGAAGUGGGUGACAGCGAGUGACAUCCAGGUCCUGGGAGAGGCUAGGGCAUCGCUGCCGUUCGUUCGCUGGCCACGGAGUCGGGGAGUGAGACACGGCGGCGGCGGAAAGCUGGAAGCGCCAGGGUGUGGCUGAGGGUGCCCUGGGCUGUGGGCCUCGCCCUCCUGGCCUGUCUGUGAAGAGAGUGGGUGCUGGCCCCCUCGCCAGAGGAUGGAGCCGGGUCAAAUGAGGGUUCUCAUUUUCCAGGAGGGGAGCUGGGGCCCGAGCCCUCCUGGCUGGUGUUAUUUUAGGGACUGGGAUGAA